GUCCAACCUUUAUUGUAUAUCCCUUUCUCAUGCUUUCUCUCUCUAUGCCCUCUCGGGUUCUCUCUCCCUUUAUCUUGCAGGAACCUUUCAUAUCCAAGAGAAAUGGUUCAUAAUUCAUACUAAUCAAAGGUAGUCUCCCAAAUAAGUUUUAAAGUUUUUAUCUUGAUAGGGAUAAAAAAACUUAGGUUAUUCAAUCCAUAGUGUCUGCAAUAAUUUGUUUGUGAUUUUGAUUUUGGAAUGUUUUUUGAUUACCAAACUUUCUUAAUGGUCUGAUGAUAGUUAUUGAAAGAAUCCAUAGUAUUUACUACAAUUUCAAGAAUCGAAGGAGUUAUUUAAUUGAGAUGUAAUAUUUGAUUUGAAAUUUGUUACUUUAUAUAAACAUUUUCGGUGUUUCUUUGGGAUCGACAAUGUUUAACCUUAAAUUUUAAUUUCCAUUGAUUUUCAUUUAUUAACCAAUUGAAUCUAGUUUAUGAAAAAAAAAAUCACGGCAUAGGCAUACUGCUAAUCAAGUCGGCGAUGUUGCAUCCCUAGAAAAAUUUCCUUAAAAAGAAGAAGAAGAUUUGCAGGAGAAGGAGAAGAUUUGCAUGAAGUUUUGUUUCCCCUAAAAUUAUGUCUUUUUUUCUAUAUGAUGCAUCAUUAUCUAAUGUAUUGAGAAAAUUAAUUUAAUGUGCUAAAUUUAUAUCUGAAUAAAAUCAAUAUAGCAAAUGAGAGAGUUUUUCUCUUAUGAAUUUUUCAUCUCUUA
Long non-coding RNA from Papaver somniferum (opium poppy), 742 nucleotides. RefSeq lists it as uncharacterized. The transcript is spliced from 2 exons. NCBI's taxonomy places the organism in Eukaryota, Viridiplantae, Streptophyta, Magnoliopsida, Ranunculales, Papaveraceae. The record is from RefSeq and is a predicted model, not a curated record.